This 253-nucleotide ribosomal RNA is filed under the name uncultured bacterium. RNAcentral's name for it is "partial 16S ribosomal RNA". It matches the Rfam family "Bacterial small subunit ribosomal RNA", at positions 524 to 776 of the family's 1533-position model. The record is from RNAcentral.
UACGUAGGUGGCGAGCGUUGUCCGGAUUUAUUGGGCGUAAAGAGCCCGCAGGCGGCCUGUUAAGUUUCAGGUGAAAUCUCCCGGCUCAACUGGGAGGGGUCCUGGAAAACUGUCAGGCUCGAGGCAGGGAGAAGGAUGCAGAAUUCCCGGUGUAGUGGUGAAAUGCGUAGAUAUCGGGAGGAAUACCAGUGGCGAAGGCGGCAUCCUGGCCCUGUCCUGACGCUCAGGGGCGAAAGCGUGGGGAGCAAACCGG